Molecule: transfer RNA, 71 nt
Filed under: Odobenus rosmarus rosmarus (Atlantic walrus)
Lineage: Eukaryota; Metazoa; Chordata; Mammalia; Carnivora; Odobenidae
Description: transfer RNA-Gly
Source: RNAcentral
GCUUCCUUAGUAUCAACAAGUACGGUCGACUUCCAAUCAACCAGGUUCUGGUUAUAACCCAGAAGAAAGCA